Molecule: long non-coding RNA, 885 nt
Filed under: Homo sapiens (human)
Lineage: Eukaryota; Metazoa; Chordata; Mammalia; Primates; Hominidae
Description: HSALNT0328633
Source: RNAcentral
UACUAUGCUUAUGAGAACUACUCAUUUAUCACAUUUGAGUGUAGUUAAGUGGAGUACUUCAAAGCCGCAUUUGACUUCAGUUUCACUUCUCCACUAUAAGUUAUCAGUACUCAACAGAGUGAACAAUUUGAGAGGUGUGCAACUCUUGAUCUCCUUAUUGAUCUCUGUUUUCUCUGAUAUAAAUUAUGAGUUUUCAUUUUCACUCAACACCCUGCAGGAAAGAGAAAACAGAUUCAGACUAAAGCACGUGCCUGACAAUGUGUCUGCUGCAUUGCAUGAGGCAGCCUUGCUGCAGCCAACCAUAGUGGGUGCCCUUGUAGGUCCAAUUAAGAGGCUUAAUUGAAGAAUUCCAAGUUAGCAGACUGUCCUGGCACUCAGAGGAUAUUGUGCCUGGUAAUGAUAGUGUUGAAUUGGACAGAAAGAAUAUUCACAAAGCUUCAAGAAAGGCCUCCUCUGCUAAAAAUGCUCUCUGAUUAGCCAUUCACUGCUUCCUGAACUAUGAAGACAUCUUCUAGGAAUACUCAGGAUCUUCUGCUAUGUGGCUUUAAUUUAUUUUAAGAUUAAUUCCUCAUUACCUUCUUACACAAAGCCACCAUUAGCAUAUCAAGCACAGCUGUACAAAUUUUUAAAAGGCCAAAAGAUGUAUCUGCCAAUUCUAGGAGGAUAUAAACCUGAAGGCACAAAUCUGGGCUGGAGCACAUGGUUUCCCUUGUGAGAAGAAAAAGUCUCCUUCCUCUGAAUGGACACACCUUGCACACCAGGGCACAAGGUUUGUCUAGAAGAGCACAGCUGAACAUCAUAAAGUGCAGAACCACACACCUGGCAUCCUUGUCCCUACACAAGUUUAGACGGGGUUUCACCGGUUAGCCAGGAUGGUCUCGAUCU